This 79-nucleotide transfer RNA is filed under the name Streptococcus pneumoniae Hungary19A-6. RNAcentral's name for it is "tRNA-Met". It matches the Rfam family "tRNA". From Rfam's summary of the family: Transfer RNA (tRNA) molecules are approximately 80 nucleotides in length. Their secondary structure includes four short double-helical elements and three loops (D, anti-codon, and T loops). Lineage: Bacteria; Bacillati; Bacillota; Bacilli; Lactobacillales; Streptococcaceae. The record is from RNAcentral.
UGGACCUUUAGCUCAGCUGGUUAGAGCUCUCGGCUCAUAACCGAGUGGUCGUAGGUUCAAGUCCUACAAGGUCCAUUUG